CGUAGGGUGCAAGCGUUAAUCGGAAUUACUGGGCGUAAAGGGUGUGUAGGUUGCUUACUAAGACUGUCUGUUAAAACCUGAGGCUUAACCUUAGAGAGCGGCGGUAACUGGUAGGCUAGAGUAUGGAAGAGGAGGGCAGAAUUCCGUGUGUAGCAGUGAAAUGCGUAGAUACUCGGAGGAAUACCGAAGGCGAAGGCAGCCCUCUGGGCCAAUACUGACACUCAAACACGAAAGCGUGGGGAGCAAACAGGAUU
This 254-nucleotide ribosomal RNA is filed under the name uncultured bacterium. Its description in RNAcentral is "partial 16S ribosomal RNA". It matches the Rfam family "Bacterial small subunit ribosomal RNA", at positions 526 to 779 of the family's 1533-position model. The record is from RNAcentral.